AAUAAUAAUAAUAAGAAUAAUCCUUAGGAAAACAAUAGGGCCCUGCGCCCAUUGGCUCGGGCCCUAAUAAUAAUUAAAGCUGCAAGCAGCGAAGAACGGGCCCUCGCACCCGGGCUCACCACCACCGGGUGGCUUUUGUAAAACAGCGAACGGUGAGAAAUAUGCGUUUAAUGUGGUAAAUAUAAGAGGAAUAUGUCAAAGUCAUUUAUAUGUGCCAAUCUUCCUGCUGCCAGCUGGUGGCGCUAUGAUUAUAACUGAACAUUGGCCUUUAGAUAUCUUCAGGCCAUGACUCUUAUCAAAUAUUUGAAGUUUGGUGCAGAUUGGACAUUGCAUGUUUAAGUUAGUGUAAAACAAGCCAUUUCCUGUUGCCAGCAGGUGGCGCUAUGAUUAUAGUGGAAUAUUGACCUUCAGAUGUGUUCAGGCCAAGACUCUUUUCGAACAUGUGAAGUUUGGGGAAGAUCGGACAUCUUAUGCCUGAGUUACAAUAACUUCUAUUCCCAUGGCGAGACAUCGAACUUUGUCACAGGGCCAUGGCCACACCCUUUAAUGAAACCUCAAGAUGUUCACAAUUUAACAUCGCAAAGGCCUUUAGAUUAGACUGACCAAAAAAAAUUAUAAAAUGUCAUAAAAUUUCUAGGAGUAGUUCGUUACAGCGUAAAACAUGACACUUCCUGUUGCCAGCAGGUGGCGCUAUGACUAUAAUCGAAUGUGGGCAUGUAGAUCUGUUCAGGUCAGAAGUCAUAUCUAACAUGUGAAGUUUGGGGCAGAUUGGACAUUGUAUGUCUGAGUUAGAGCAACUUCCUUUUUCAUGGCGAAACAUAAAAAUUUGUCAGGCCGCCAUGGACACGCCAUUUAACGAAACCUCAAGAUCUUCACAAUUUAAUAUCGCAAAGGGCUUUAGAUUACACUGACCAAUUUUGGUGUUGAUCUGAAUAAAUCCCUAGGAGGAGUUCGUUAAAGUACAACCCCCGAAAAUGGCAAAAACAACACCAAUUUUGCAGGGAAAAUUCAAAAUAACCGACUUCCUGUUGGGAUUCGGAUUUUGUACCAAGAGACUUUUUCGUAGGUAUUGGUGUGUUACAUGUGUGUACCGAUUUACGUACAUGUACGUGAAACGUAGUUCGAAAUGCACUCCGUUGAAUCUGUAUAGGUGGCGCUAUCGAGCCAUUUUGCCACACCCAAUGGAAUAUUGGCCUUCAGAUGUGUUAAGGCCAGGACUCUUAUCGAACAUGUGAAGUUUGGGCAAGAUCGGACAUUUUAUGCCUGAGUUACAAUAACUUUUAUUCCCAUGGCGAGACAUCGAACUUUGUGACGGCGCCAUGGACACGCCCUUUAACGAAAACUCAAGAUCUUCACAAUUUAACAUCGCACAGGCCUUUAGAAUAGAGUGACUGAAAAAAAAAAAUUAUGUCAUAAAAUUUCUCGGGGUAGUUUGUUACAGUGUAAAAUAUGUCACUUCCUGUUGCCAG
Long non-coding RNA from Cyprinus carpio carpio, 1469 nucleotides. NCBI's taxonomy places the organism in Eukaryota, Metazoa, Chordata, Actinopteri, Cypriniformes, Cyprinidae. The record is from Ensembl.